CUAUAAAGAAAACAUUUAUAAAUUAAUAAUUAUAAAUUAGUCAAACAUCGUAGUUUUAAUAUUAUUAAUGUAUAGAAUUUUUUGAAUAUGAGGUAUACUAAUGACUGAGAUGUUGAAUGUUUGUAUGGAAUCUAAAAUAAUUGUCGCAGGAUAUAAAAAUCAUUUUAUUUUCAAAUAUCCAUAGCCAAACGAAAUCAUGUCGUAGAGAGAAAUUACAUCUAGAUAAAAUGAUUUGACGUCAAAUAUUAAAAUACUUGUAUAUGGAUAAAACGCUUUUCAACUCAUUUUA
Molecule: long non-coding RNA, 289 nt
Filed under: Brassica napus (rape)
Lineage: Eukaryota; Viridiplantae; Streptophyta; Magnoliopsida; Brassicales; Brassicaceae
Description: long non-coding RNA (BNAP_LNC020902)
Source: RNAcentral